GAUAAAGAGUUUGUGGUGUAGGAUUUGCAGCUGUAAUAUGGGAUGAGUUGUAUCACCAUAAAUUUAAGUUGGUGCAUGCAAUCAUGUAAAGUCGCCUCUCCUUUUUGUCACUUCUCACGAGUGCUUCUGUUGUAUUAAAGAGUUGUCACGCUAUUAGUAGCUGUGUGAUAUGUGAAGCAUGGUUACACUAGAACAUGAAAAUCUUGGCGAAUGAUAUCCGCUCUUUCACUAUGUUUUUGUUGCAUGAAUAUUACUGUUGUUAGACCUGAUUUCAGUUUCAUUUAGAGUAUCCUAGAUCUAACGAAGUUGUGUUCACAAUCUGAUAUCUGAUUGA
RNAcentral lists this long non-coding RNA (334 nucleotides) under Solanum tuberosum (potato). RNAcentral describes it as "long non-coding RNA (STUB_LNC002410)". Lineage: Eukaryota; Viridiplantae; Streptophyta; Magnoliopsida; Solanales; Solanaceae. The record is from RNAcentral.